Molecule: ribosomal RNA, 1060 nt
Filed under: Dictyochaeta callimorpha
Lineage: Eukaryota; Fungi; Ascomycota; Sordariomycetes; Chaetosphaeriales; Chaetosphaeriaceae
Description: partial large subunit ribosomal RNA
Rfam family: Eukaryotic large subunit ribosomal RNA
Source: RNAcentral
AUAUCAAUAAGCGGAGGAAAAGAAACCAACAGGGAUUGCCCCAGUAACGGCGAGUGAAGCGGCAACAGCUCAAAUUUGAAAUCUGGCCCCAGGCCCGAGUUGUAAUUUGCAGAGGAUGCUUCGGGCGCGACGCCUUCCAAGUCCCCUGGAACGGGGCGCCUUAGAGGGUGAGAGCCCCGUACGGUUGGACGUCAAGCCUGUGUGAAGCUCCUUCGACGAGUCGAGUAGUUUGGGAAUGCUGCUCAAAAUGGGAGGUAGACCCCUUCUAAAGCUAAAUACCGGCCAGAGACCGAUAGCGCACAAGUAGAGUGAUCGAAAGAUGAAAAGCACUUUGAAAAGAGGGUUAAACAGCACGUGAAAUUGUUGAAAGGGAAGCGCUCGUGACCAGACUUGCGCCGGGGCGAUCAUCUGGCGUUCUCGCCGGUGCACUCGCCCCGGCUCAGGCCAGCGUCGGUUCGGGAGGGGGGACAAAGGCGUCGGGGAUGUGGCUCCCUCGGGAGUGUUAUAGCCCGGCGUGCAAUGCCCCCGCCCGGACCGAGGUUCGCGCUCUGCAAGGACGCUGGCGUAAUGGUCACCAGCGGCCCGUCUUGAAACACGGACCAAGGAGUCGAGGUUCUGCGCGAGUGUUUGGGUGUCAAACCCGCACGCGUAAUGAAAGUGAACGUAGGUGGGAGCCUCGGCGCACCACCGACCGAUCCUGAUGUUCUCGGAUGGAUUUGAGUAGGAGCGUAGGGCCUCGGACCCGAAAGAUGGUGAACUAUGCUUGGAUAGGGUGAAGCCAGAGGAAACUCUGGUGGAGGCUCGCAGCGGUUCUGACGUGCAAAUCGAUCGUCAAAUCUGAGCAUGGGGGCGAAAGACUAAUCGAACCAUCUAGUAGCUGGUUACCGCCGAAGUUUCCCUCAGGAUAGCAGUGUUGUCUUCAGUUUUAUGAGGUAAAGCGAAUGAUUAGGGACUCGGGGGCGCUAUAUUGCCUUCAUCCAUUCUCAAACUUUAAAUAUGUAAGAAGCCCUUGUUGCUUAAUUGAACGUGGGCAUUCGAAUGCAUCAACACUAGUGGGCCA